AACGAACGCUGGCGGCAUGCCUAACACAUGCAAGUCGAACGAGACCUUCGGGUCUAGUGGCGCACGGGUGCGUAACGCGUGGGAACCUGCCCUUAGGUUCGGAAUAACUCCCCGACAGGGGUGCUAAUACCGGAUAAUGUCUUCGGACCAAAGAUUUAUCGACUUUGGAUGGGCCGGCGUUGGAUUAGCUAGUUGGUAGGGUAAAAGCCUACCAAGGCGACGAUCCAUAGCUGGUCUGAGAGGAUGAUCAGCCACACUGGGACUGAGACACGGCCCAGACUCCUACGGGAGGCAGCAGUGGGGAAUAUUGGACAGUGGGGGAAAGCCUGAUCCAGCAAUGCCGCGUGAGUGAUGAAGGCCUUAGGGUUGUAAAGCUCUUUUACCCGGGAUGAUAAUGACAGUACCGGGAGAAUAAGCUCCGGCUAACUCCGUG
RNAcentral lists this ribosomal RNA (433 nucleotides) under uncultured bacterium. RNAcentral describes it as "partial 16S ribosomal RNA". It matches the Rfam family "Bacterial small subunit ribosomal RNA", at positions 29 to 507 of the family's 1533-position model. The record is from RNAcentral.